This 253-nucleotide ribosomal RNA is filed under the name uncultured bacterium. Its description in RNAcentral is "partial 16S ribosomal RNA". It matches the Rfam family "Bacterial small subunit ribosomal RNA", at positions 524 to 776 of the family's 1533-position model. The record is from RNAcentral.
UACGAAGGGGGCUAGCGUUGCUCGGAAUCACUGGGCGUAAAGCGCACGUAGGCGGCUUUUUAAGUCAGGGGUGAAAUCCUGGAGCUCAACUCCAGAACUGCCUUUGAUACUGGGAAGCUUGAGUCCGGGAGAGGUGAGUGGAACUCCGAGUGUAGAGGUGAAAUUCGUAGAUAUUCGGAAGAACACCAAUGGCGAAGGCAGCACUCUGGGACGUGACUGACGCUGAGACGCGAAAGCGUGGGGAGCAAACAGG